Molecule: long non-coding RNA, 1728 nt
Organism: Homo sapiens (human)
Lineage: Eukaryota; Metazoa; Chordata; Mammalia; Primates; Hominidae
Source: Ensembl
GCACCUGUCGCACCUCCUGGUUUUGGCAGAAUGAAGUGAGGAGACAGCUGGAGUCAUUAUAGUUCAUCUGUUUGAAGGUUGCCCAAAUGAAAAACAAACAAACAAAUCUGGUGAGUUUCGUGUUUCUUUUAAGUGUACAGAAAUGCAGCUGCUAAGUUGUGUAGGAGAUCAAAGGAGCCUUUUAAAUUCAAGACACCAAAGUGUUCUUGCUGGUUUGAUCCUUGGUGGAGAUUUGUUAGCAAACUUUAGAAGGAAGUUACAAAAGAGGAUUAGGUGUAUUAAACUUGUCUGAGCUGUGGAAAGUUCUUUGUAAAGCUCAUUGUGUGUUCAUUGCAGAUUUCUGUGGAGAAUGUGAUAGUGUAGUGAGCCCAGAGGUUGUGUUUUGGGUGAUUGGACUCAAGUGCAAAGUAGAAAAACAUUUCUUUAAUACAGAAAUAAGGCACUAUGACUAUUGCCUAUAAAUUGUCUAUUAGAGAGAAAGAAAUAUAUUCUGAAGCAUUCAAUAAUUUCAGUACUUUGAGUAAAAUGAAAUUUAACCUUAGCUCCCAAGUUUGAAGUUGUCUCUUAAAAACAUCAAGGCAUUAUGUAGCUAAAAUAACUGGCAUAUUAUUUUCAGUGUACAUUGCAAUAUUUUAAAUAGCUUACACUUCAAAUAAUCGGGGCAAACAAAAUGUGUAUUUAUUAUUUUCUAUUGGUGCCUUAGCAGUUGUUAAUUUUCUUAGCAUUUUACUAGUAAAAUUAAUUUUCAUUGUGGGUUACAAUAAAAAAUAGUGUUUUAAUAUUAAAAUUUUCUGAACAUAAAAAUCUUAAACAUAUAUUUAAAGUCACAAUUUCAGUUUUAUUUUGGUCAGAAUUGGUUAAUACGCUGGUUUGUAAAUGGUGUGUACUUUAUAGUCAUCUUCUUUACUUUGAACAUGUUUUAAAUGACUUUGAUCCAUCUCACUCCUCUACUUAGUAGCAGAAAAGUUUAAAACGCUAUGUAAAUAGAACUAAAGCAAAUGUGCUCACUAAUAUAUUUUUGUUGUAUUGUUGUUUAUAAUUUUUGUAUUUGUGAUAAAAUCUAUUUUGGUUAUUCUGAGAUUUUUUUCCCCCUAUUUGUUCUCCAGAUUCAAUUAGUUGCUUUCAGCUAACUCCUUUUUUUUUGUCCUGGCUACAAUAAUGUAUCUAAAAAAUUAUUUUUCAUCUGGGAUUGUUUUAAUCCACAACUUUGAGAACUGUUUAAUACUUAGUUAUUUAGUCAAGUUUGAAUCUUAUUUUGACAGCAUUUAAGGGGCUUAGGAGGGGGAAAGAGAAACUGAGUGUGGAAGAGGCUCUUGAAUUAAAAAUGUAUAAAGGUUAAACAUCAAACACUCAUGACUGUCAUCAUAAUAAUUCUAAAUUGCAGCUGACUAUGAACAUUGAUCUCUUUCUCCAAUAAAUCUUAACCUCCUUGUCAUAUUUUCUUCUUCUGUUGACCUGAUUUUCAUUUUCUUAGCCUCUGGGAUGUUAGCUCCAUAAAAGGUAGGUUUGAGGACAGGAUCCCCCAAAGGUAGGUUUUUAUUUCAGCUUCAUACCAGGCAGCUUACCAGAAGAAUUCCAAAUGAGGUGCUGGUUGGGUACCCUGUCUUGUCAAAUUACUGAGAUGUGGCAUUGAUUGGUUCUCAAGUGGAAGGCAAUUGAUUACUUGUAUCUAUCUAAUUUUUAAGUGAUGUGUGUAGAAUCUCUGGAAAUAAAACUUUAAAAACAGUU